UGGUGGAGUGAUUUGUCUGGUUGAUUCUGUUAACGAACGAGAUCUCCGCCACUACUUGGCCUCCGGCCUCGUUGUAGGUGUGCGCCGUUCGGCUUGCCGACUCGGUGCUGCUGGGAGGCCGGUGGCACAUAGUGGGAUUAUGCGUGUCUUAAUGCAUUGAAACGGGAGCCCAUAACA
Molecule: ribosomal RNA, 177 nt
Filed under: uncultured eukaryote
Lineage: Eukaryota
Description: partial 18S ribosomal RNA
Rfam family: Eukaryotic small subunit ribosomal RNA
Source: RNAcentral